This 462-nucleotide ribosomal RNA is filed under the name uncultured Thermovirga sp. RNAcentral's name for it is "bacterial SSU rRNA". It matches the Rfam family "Bacterial small subunit ribosomal RNA", at positions 907 to 1382 of the family's 1533-position model. The record is from RNAcentral. Lineage: Bacteria; Thermotogati; Synergistota; Synergistia; Synergistales; Thermovirgaceae.
UGAAUUGACGGGACCCGCACAAGCAGAGGAGCGCGUGGUUUAAUUCGACGGCAAUCGAAGAACCUUACCAGGGUUUGAAAUGUAUCUGCAUGCCCUAUGAAAAUAGGGAGGCCUUCGAGGGUGAUACACAGGUGCUGCAUGGCCGCCGUCAGCUCGUGUCGUGAGAUGUAGGGUUAAGUCCCGAAACGAGCGCAACCCCUAUUCUAUGUUACAAGUGUCUUAGAAAACCGCCUCGGUAAAACGAGGAGGAAGGUGGGGAUGACGUCUGGUCCGCAUAGCCCUUAUGUCCUGGGCUACACACGCGCUACAAUGGCCGAUACAGUAGGAAGCCAAAUCGUAAGAUGGAGCUAAUCCUUAAAGUCGGUCUCAGUUCGGAUUGAGGUCUGAAAUUCGACCUCAUGAAGUUGGAUUUGCUAGUAAUCGUAGAUCAGCAAUGCUACGGUGAAUACGUUCUCGGGUCUU